UUAGGAGGCUUGUCCCGUCGCCGCCGCCAUCCAUCUUCCUCGGGAUCCCCAUCGCUCAAAUCCCACGCUAUCUCUGUUUCCCCACCGAGCCAAUCCCCUCCACCUCGCAGCAGCCAGCCCCGCGCCUCCCUUCUCCUGCGGGGACGCGUCCCCGCCACGGCAAGCCACAACAGCCAGGACCCGGGAGCCUCGCGCCCACAGCCAGGUGCUGCACCUCGAGCUCCUGAGCGUGCUGCCCGACCCCGCCGACUCCUCCGACCGGCCGGCCGCUGAGCCGCCGGAGCCGCAACAGCCAGUCACCGGCGCGACCGCCGCCUUGACCUCCCAGCACCGCAAGGCCCGUGGCCUCCUUCUCUUCCCUCUCUCACUUGUUCUCCCUCUCACGCAUCCCUCUCUCUGUUGGAUAUGCGCAGGAGCUGUCCUGUCAUGGGCGCGUCCUGCGCGAGCUUGCAGGUCGCCGCCGAAGCUCCUGGGCGGCCGUGUGAUGUCGGGAAUCGGUCCCUGCCGCCCGGAUCCUCCCGUCCCCAUUGUGGAUCUGGAUCCCCACGUCCUCCUCGUGUCGCCUGAGCCCGGAGCCGCCACCACGAUUGCAGCUAGGCCGACCCUGUUUCACCUGGUGUUCGUGAGGUACAACAAGGCGUUGUUCUGUUUUCAGUUUCAGAUCCGCGGUAGUGUUGUUUCUCAUAGUUAAAGCUCCAUUGUUUGACGCAAAUACUUGGUAGCUGAGUUGGUCAUCGUCGCUCUAUGUAAAUGAUGGGUCUGGUGUUCAAAUCCCAUGCACCCUGAUUUUCCUGCACACUUGCAUGUGCCUUGUAGUGAGACUCAAGGGGUCCUGGGUUUGAAUCCUAGACACCCCAAUAUUUUGCUUUGUCUCAUUUUUAGAUUCAGAUUCGCAUCAGCAUAAUUUCAUAUAGUGUGAACCUUGGUUUUGUCACAAGCGCUUUGUAGACGACUGGUUGGUGCCUUGACUUCCUCAAGGGAGGUCCUGAGAUCGAAUCCCAGGGUAGCCCAAGCUGUUGCAAUUCGGCCUAUGCUUAUUUAUUUUUCCUUCAGCGAUUUCAUCAAUAACCUAGCCCUGCAUUGUUGUAUGAGUUACGAGUAGGUCCUUCUGUAGAUGCCAUGUUAGUUGCACGUACCCCAUAUUCAUGCCUCCGGUACAUGGGAACCUAGUAACCAUGAUCAUCCCAUCAUUCUUUGGCAUGACACACACACUCUCAAUUCGUUUGCACCGGUAUCUGAUGCUUAUUUAUUUUUCCUUCAGCGAUUUCAUCAAUAACCUAGCCAUGCAUUGUUGUAUGAGUUACGAGUAGGUCCUUUUGUAGAUGCCAUGUUAGUUGCACGUACCCCAUAUUCAUGCCUCCGGUACAUGGGAACCUAGUAACCAUGAUCACCCCAUCAUUCUUUGGCAUGACACACACUCUCUCAAUUCGUUUGCACCGGUAUCUGACACGCACACACUCCCAAUUCGUUUGCACCGGUAUCUUGUCGAGUUAUCGGAACCGGAACGCUAUUGUGGUUGUCAUUUGCAUGCAUGUUGCAUCCAUGUCAUAUGAUCUUGUGUUUCUCGUAUCUAGUUAACCAACUAGAAUGACGUGUAGAAUCACAUGCUUCACCUCUUGUCAUGUUUAAACAACAUUUAAUAUUGCCAUGUAUCUAAAAGGGAGUGAACUAAAUAAUUUGUAUGUGAAGUUUCAUCAAAAUGUAACUCGUUUCAUGUUGAACUCCGCUUAAUGUGUAGUGUUUGAUUGUUGUGAAUAGCCAUGCCAUGCCUUGCAUAAUUGAACCGAUCAUGCAUCAUAUUAGGGGGUGCAUCAUAUCGUGCAUGUGACAUGGUGAAUAUCGUGUGUUGAUUCUUGUCUCCAGUUUGCUUCUUCUCGUUAGAGUUCCGCAAGCGUGUCGGAAUGUGAGGAUCCGUUCGACUACGUCGGUUCGUUUGCUUCACAGAUUCGUUCUUCGUCCAAGUGGGAUCACACGCAAGACGAUCAUUUCCCUAGAUACCAUUACUAUUAAUGCCGUGCUAGUUGUCUCAUUUCUUUCAUUAUGUCUCGUUGUCUACCACCUAUUAAAUGUCAGCCUCUCAACAUUGCCAUGGAACCUUCAACUUCUACAACCUUGCAAACCACUGUUUGGCUAUAUUACCGCUUGCUUAACCAUGUGUUAGCGUUGCUAGUUGCAGGUGUCGUUGCUUCCAUGUGGUAACAUGGGUUUCUUGUUAUAUCAUCAUAUUAUUGCUAAUUAAUUUAGCAGACCUAUAUACUUGGUAAAAGGUGGAAGGCUUGGCUUUCUAGCCUAGUGUUUUGUUCCACCUUUGUUGCCUCAGUUUCGGCUACCGCUGUUAUAUUCCACAAUUGAGCGCUCCUAACACGAUCAGAGUUGUUAUGGGAACCCCCUUGAUAAUUCGUCUUAGAUUAAAACUGGUCUGGCAAGACCCAACUUUGGUACUAUAUUUGCCUAAUUAACUAAUGAACCACAAAGGGUUUGAUCACCCCGUGGAUAAUUAAUCAACCCCCACGCGAGUGCUCCUCAAGAGUGUUGGUCCAAACUAGAGUCGUGUGCGGGGCCAACCCGGGGCAACUCAUGAGAUCUCUAUCACGCCACUGUAUGCUGCGCUCAUCCGGUCGUGUCCUGAGAACGAGAUACGCGACUCCUAUAAGGUUCGUCGACACGUCGGGCGGCCUUGCUGGACUUUUUUUUUACCUUUUACGAAAUAUCUUGUUCAUCGGGAUUCCGGUGAUGCUUUAGGUUAUCUCAGAGUUGAGGUUUUCCACUAAGGAAUCCGAGGAGAUCAUGAGUCUCGUGAUCGAGGCUUUCUAUGUGGCUUGUGGUAGUUUGUGAUGGAUUAGUUGGAGCACCCCUCCAGGGUUAAAUAUUUCAGAACGCCAUGCCCGCGGUUAUGUGGCAACGUGGAAACUUUGUUUAACAUCUGCUUCUAGAGAACUUGAAGUAAGGUUAAUUAAAAUAUGCCAACUUUGUGCGUAUUCGUGACUGUCUCUCUCGUGAGUUCCUUUCUCCGACUGAGGACAUGGUGGGGUUAUGUCUGACGUAAGUAGGUGUUCAGGGUCAUUCAUUUGAUCAUCAUUAAUUCAUGUCUAUUAUGCGUAGGUCAUCCCCCUCUUAUUCUUGUACUCGUAAGUUAGCCAUCUCAAAUAAAUGUUUAGUCACUUGCUGCACCCUCACCACUUAACCAUAUCUCACACAUUAAGCUUUGCUAGUCUUAGAUACAUUUGGAACUGAGAUUGCUGAGUUCCCUGUGGCUCACAGAUUACUACAACACCAGUUGCAGGUACAUGUAAAGUGAUAUUAAGACGUCAGCGCGAUGUUGUGCUAUUUGGAGUUUCUUCUUCAUCAUCGAUCUCGGAUUGGUUCCAGGCCGGCAGCCUGGGAUAGCAAGGAUGGACAUCGUUCUUUUAUUGUUUGUUCUCGUCCGUAGUCGGACCCUGCUCUUCCUCAUGAUGAUUGUAUAUUGUUGUAUUGAUGUGAACUUGAUGUAGCUUGUGGCGAGUGUAAGACAAUUCCAUAUACUCAUCUAUUCUGUACAUGUAAUUGUAACGAUAUCCAUUAUUACAAAACGACGAGAUGCGCUUCUAUCCGUGUCGAGGCCCUCGUGCCAAAAUAAGGAUAGGGUCGCAUCUUGGGUGUGACAAUUAGUUGCAUCAAUUUGAGUUCUUCACGGUGAUACAUGUAAGUGAAAUUUGAGAAGAUUAUUACUCUUGGGUGUUUGGGCACCCUAGAGCUUGUGACUCUUGGAUGAUUUGGCGCCCUAGAUGGUUGGUGGUGUCUCGGAG
Molecule: long non-coding RNA, 3785 nt
Filed under: Hordeum vulgare
Lineage: Eukaryota; Viridiplantae; Streptophyta; Magnoliopsida; Poales; Poaceae
Description: long non-coding RNA (HVUL_LNC015883)
Source: RNAcentral